CUUCGAAUAGGAAGAACAACUUUGUGAUGAAGUCAUCCCUAACCUUAACCCUUUGUUUUUAAAUUUCGGAACAACAGUAGCACGAAUCUCCAACAAUCCUAACCUUUACUUUUAGAUUUGAGAACAAAUGUAGCACGAAUCACCAACAACCCUAACUUUGCUUUUUAAUUUGGAAAAAACAACCAUGAAUCUCUUUGCUUUCAAGAUGAAUCAACAAUUCAAUUUAACACGUCAACCAAAACUGCACAACUCAUCCGCUUUUUGCCAGCUGGGCAGCUGUGUCCGUAGUCCUUUUUAAGAUGUUAGUGAACUUUUAAAAAAAAAAAAGGACAACUUUGAACAGAUCUACAAAAAGAGUACCAAAGAGCAAUUAAACCUAUUCAAUUAAAUUAAACUAAACCCUUUCUUUUGCCGGAACUGUUCUGGUAAUUCUCUUUCAAUUUAAUCAACACAGGCUACGCCCUUCCUUUCCCGCCACCGAGUUACCCAUCAGCGCCGCCGCCGCCUCCUGCAGGGUAUGAGCCGUUUGCGCCACCGCCUCCGCAGUACCAAGGUUACCAAAGCUAUUUGAAUCAACAGUACCCUCCGCCACCUCCUUCGCAUUACGAUUGCCACCACUUACAGUAUCAUGACGAUGGUACCCCCGGUUUUACUUCCUUCUUGGAAGGCUGCUUGACAGCGCUUUGUUGCUGUUGUUUGCUAGAAGAUUGCUUUUUCUGAUGAUCAUUUUAAAAGUUGCAUCUGCAGUUUGGUGUACUUGGCCGGUUAUAGCUUCUCUGGAUAAAUGUUGCUCUAAUGUCUUCAUGUGUGCGGGAUCUGGUAAGUGUUAGUCAUUGUUGUAACUCUUGGGUCUUUACCUUCUCCCUCACUCGUUUCUGGUUCUUCAUAGAUUUUCUGAUGUGAUCAUUGUGAAUGCUUAAUGUUGCUUAAUGUAUAUUGGAAACUGUAAAGAACAAUGUUUUUACCUGGAAUAACAAACUAAUAUAUUAUGGUUG
Molecule: small RNA, 995 nt
Filed under: Vigna angularis var. angularis
Lineage: Eukaryota; Viridiplantae; Streptophyta; Magnoliopsida; Fabales; Fabaceae
Description: Non-protein coding transcript
Source: RNAcentral